This 371-nucleotide ribosomal RNA is filed under the name uncultured bacterium. RNAcentral describes it as "bacterial SSU rRNA". It matches the Rfam family "Bacterial small subunit ribosomal RNA", at positions 520 to 890 of the family's 1533-position model. The record is from RNAcentral.
GUAAUACGUAGGGGGCAAGCGUUGUCCGGAAUCACUGGGCGUAAAGCGCGUGUAGGCGGCCAGGUAAGUCAGAGGUGAAAACCGGCGGCUCAACCGCAGGCUUGCCUUUGAAACUACUUGGCUUGAGGUCAGAAGAGGAGAGUGGAAUUCCCAGUGUAGCGGUGAAAUGCGUAGAUAUUGGGAGGAACACCAGUGGCGAAGGCGGCUCUCUGGUCUGCACCUGACGCUGAGGCGCGAAAGCGUGGGUAGCAAACAGGAUUAGAUACCCUGGUAGUCCACGCCGUAAACGAUGGGUGCUAGGUGUUGGGGGUAUGAACCCCUCAGUGCCGUACGUAACGCGAUAAGCACCCCGCCUGGGAAGUACGGUCGCA